This 6923-nucleotide long non-coding RNA is filed under the name Volvox carteri. Its description in RNAcentral is "long non-coding RNA (VCAR_LNC000133)". The record is from RNAcentral. Lineage: Eukaryota; Viridiplantae; Chlorophyta; Chlorophyceae; Chlamydomonadales; Volvocaceae.
UCGUUUUGUUACACUUGGUGGAAAAGCUAAAAAGAAUCCAGAGCCGAAUCAAGAGGGCGGGAAUGACAGCCGUAAUAGCGGUGUUGCGCGCCUGACCUGCAUGCAUCACAACCCGCCACUGUGUGGAUGACCUGACUGUAUGUGGGCCUCUCUCAACUCCUCUCCCAGCCCUUCAAAGCCAUCAGUCUGUAGUCUCUUGGGCAUAGCAUGGGAUCUGCAUCCACCGAUCAGUACUUUUCCGAAGUCGUGGUAUAACACAGUCCCUCAAAGCCUCAGGCCCCUCCCCAUCCUCAUCAGCACAAUCAUCAACUGAGGGCAUGUACCACACUAGGUUGCAUCUUGGCACGAAAGGGUGGACAUGGUGGCCAGAUUUUACAGAAGCUCACAAAAACUCCAAAACUACAGGUACUGAGCCUGUGUAUGUAGUCACAUGCGCUUAUCCGUAUGGGUGUGGCAGCCCCAACCACCCCAUGUCCGGCACUGAAUAUUUCUUCCUUUGGCUAUAUUAUCUUUGACCAACAUAGUGGUUGCUUAUAGUUCGGGAGGUCAACUCUACAAAGCCACGGUUCAACAUGUUGGUCUGUAGCUACUGAAAAACCUUAAAGAGGUUUGGUAAGAUUAUUAUGGUUAUGGCUCUAGGGAAUGUUGGUGAGACGCUAUCUCACUGGGACCUAGCAAUCACCGUUACACGUAUUCGGGAGGCCCGCGACCUGCCACCGAUAGCCCCUUGCCUAGGCGUAAACGUGUGAAUCUGAGGUGCUGUUACCGAUAAACAGCAGAGCCUUAUAAAGGCUUGGAAAGCCUAUCCUGAUGGACGAGCUGGCAGUACUCUAGAACCUGCCAGCCGUUGCUCACAGAAGUCUGACGGGCGGCCUUAAACAGGCCACAGCUGUUACUCACGACAGCCUGACACGAUACCUAAACAGGCCACGGGGCGACACGGCAUCCCACGGCAUCAACACGCCCCCUCGAGUUGCACCAGGGGCCUGACUGCAAACUGCUAGUACCGACGAGCUAGCUUGGCCGCCAAGUCCGCGGUCCAGGCCGGAUGCUCAACACUCAGCAGACACAAACACAGCUUGCCAGCCUUCAGCCUGUUGACUAUGCGGUCUGGCACAGCUGCACAAACACACACACGGGAAACAGUGCCGUCUGCACCGUACACACUGCCUACGGCGUCCCUUCAGGCAUUGACCUGCCCAUUCGGGCGCCUGCUCACGCACCCUCGGCACCCCCCUAAAGCCUAGCUCAAAACAACUCCUCAAAGCCUUCAGCACUUCUCCUCUGGCGAUCUAAGUGACGCCCAGCUCUGUGCGGCAGCGCACGAACUUGACCUCGCCCAGUGCCUUGGUUAGGAUGUCAGCCAACAUGUCGUCGGUUGUGCAAUAGCUGAGCGUCACCUCACCACACGCGGCCCUUUCGAUGUGCUUGGAGCGCACCGACGUGAUGGGGUUGUUGCCGAGGCUGAGCGCGCCUUGCGAAUUCAGCUGGAUGUUGACAGCACCCGGGGACAGGUCCAGGUCGCUCGCCAGCUUGUGCAGCCACAAUGCCUCGUGCACGGCUGCUGCUGCGGCCUGGUACUCGGCUUCCACGGACGAGGCAGCCACGGUGCGCUGCAACUGACUGCUCCAGCUGACCGCCGCACCUCUGAGCAAGAAUGUGUAGCCCCUGGUGGACCGGCGGGUGGCUGGGUCGCCGGCCCAGUCUGCAUCGCUGUACCUACCAAAGAUGCUGGCGUUGCUGCCACUGUCGACACAGUAACGUAGACCGAGCAUGCGGGUGCCAGAGAUGUAACGCAGCACACCCAGUGCGAGCCCCAUGUGGGCCUUGGUGGGGGCAGACAUGUGCCGUGCGAGCAUGCUCAGAGCGUGUGCGAUGUCUGGGCAUGUGCUGGUAGCGAGGUAGUUUAGUUCGCCCACCAGCGCGCGGUAGUCACUGCCGUCCGCCAGUGUCGGCUGGGUGUCGCUGGCUGGCAGAACCCGCGUGCCCUGAGGCAGCGGGGUGGCGCGCGGCUUGGCGUUCUCCAGGUGGUGGUGCUGAAGCAGCUGUUCCAUGGAGCGCGGCUGCAUGAGCAUGAUGCUGCGGUUGAGGCGGUCCUGGAUGAUCUCCAUGCCGAGGUAGUAGCGCGCCUCUCCAGGGUCACGUACUGUGAAGCAACUACCUAUGGCUGCCUUGGCGGCCGUGACCAUUUGCAGGUUGUCCGCCGCCAUCAGCAUGUCGUCAGCGUGCACGAGCACAUAAAUUGAGCAAUUGGACCCACACUUGACGAAUAGCACGAGGUCGGACAUAGACGGCUCAUAGCCUAGCUUGCCCAACACCGCCGCCAGUUUCUCAUACCAGCAGCACGGGGCUUGCUUGAGGCCGUAGACGGACUUAAACAGCCGGCACGCCUGCAUCGGGUCGCCGUUGCUGUAACCUGGUGGCUGUCGCAUCCACAGCUCCUCUGCCAGGUCGCCGUUCAAGAAAGCCGUUUUGACGUCCAUCUGAUGGACCGUCAUACCCCUGGCCCCUGCCACAGCCAGAAGUGCCCGCAGGGAGGCGUGGUGGGCGUAGUUUAUGCCCGCGCACUGUUCGAAGCCUUUCACCACCAAGCGCGACUUAUAGCGUACCUCACUGCCAGGCUCCUGUUUGAUCUUGUAAACCCAGCGGCCGUCCAGGAUGCGUGUGCUGGGUGGCGGUGUGCCCAACUUCCGUGUUUUGUUGGAGAGAUGCGACAGGAUCUCGUCAUCCAUCGAGCUCUUCCACUUGUCAGCUUGUGGACUCACCACCCCUUCCUCAUAGUUGCGCGGCUCCUGCGCCACGCUGUUGCCUCCGCCGUCACCACUGCUGUCGGGCAUGUUAUUCUCAGCGCGAUCGGUGCUACCACCAGACACUUUGUCAAGCAGCGGUGGACUACCCGAAUCUCCGCUGCCACCGCUGCUGCUGUUGGCGAGGCUGACCGGGGCCAGCGGCGGGUGAAGGGGUUGCCGUUGACUGCGAGUGUUGGGGUGGAGGAGGGGCACUGGGUUCACUGGGGGCGGGGCGUCCACUGGAGUCGGCGGUGUGGUGGGCGAUGGAGAGCCGCCGACGGGGUCACUGCCGGCGGGGCUGGUGCCGAAGGGGGUGCCCGCCCGUUGAGAUGCCGGGCCACGGUGGUCGUCGUUGAAGGUGACGUCGCUGCUCACGGUCACCUUGCCUCGACGAGGACGCGGUGGGCGGCCGUGCCGCGCUCCGGUCCAAAGUAGGUUCCCGCCUUCGUGCAGGGACCGAGCUUAUCCUGCUGGCUGGCUGGGAUGCGGACAUAGGCCAGGCAGCCGAAGGUGUGCAGGUGGCUGAUGUCGGGGAUGACACCAUGAUAAGCUGCCCACAGUGUGUCCUCCUGGCCCUGAGAGGGGCCCACAUUACGCAGGAGGUUGGUGCAGAGCACAGACUCCGGCCAGUAGCUGUCCGAGAGCGCGGCAUCAUACGGCAUAGCCCGCGAUUGAGCCACUCCGCUGUUCCGUUCUGCUCUGGGGUGUAUGGCGCCGAGUGGGUGUGCGCGGUGCCGUGCUGGCAUAGCCACUGCUCCAGUUGCGUGGCGACAUACUCGCCACCGUUGUCACUAUGCAGUGUGCGUACCCGUGCAUGGUUCAGGUGGCGAGCCUCCAGCUGCAUCACCAUGUCCUGCAGCGCUUCGCCCACUUGGUUCUUGCUGACCAGUGUGUGAACGGUGAACAGACUGGCGGCAUCGUCCAGCAGUGUUAGCAAGUAGCGUGCCCCACCUCGGCCCGUGGCCGGCAUGGGCCCGCACAGGUCAGAGUGCACGACCUCCAGUGUGUGCUGCGGCCGGUUGCCACGGCUGGGGUGGGCUGUUGCUGUAACCUUCGCGGUGACACAGGCCUCGCAGACGGCCUCCGCCGCCUGUCGUAGUGCCGCUGGAGUGACCUGUGAUCCCUGCACCAGCUGCUUGCUGAUCAACUGCUCCAGCGCGCGGUAACCAAGGUGGCCGUACUGGCGGUGCAGGCGCCGGGACUCCCGUUGUCCAGUUGCCCUUUGCCGUUGCUGUCGUGUUCGGUUGGCCUCCGCCGGUGUUACUGCUGGCGGUGCUGCCACCGCGGGUGCUGGGGGCGUCGGUGCAGUUGCAGCAGCUCACGGGUCGUCCUCAACUCUGGCUCCCUGCACCAUCUCACGGGUGACCGCUCCCUGCUAAAUGACUACAUCCCCGCCGGCGCGCCACAGCAGAUUAAGUGGGGCAAUAACCAGCUGGCCGAUGUCGUGGGAACAGGGGAGUAGCACCAGUGGACACGCGUCGGACACUCUGUCCGGCUGCACAACAUGCUACACGUCCCCAGCUCAGGACUCACACUCAUGUCUGUCGACCUUCUCGUGACGCGCGGCUGCUCGACGGGCCGCCGGUUCNNNNNNNNNNNNNNNNNNNNNNNNNNNNNNNNNNNNNNNNNNNNNNNNNNNNNNNNNNNNNNNNNNNNNNNNNNNNNNNNNNNNNNNNNNNNNNNNNAGGGCGCGGUUCUCGCGCGUCACAAGAAGAUCUACAGACAUGAGUGUGAGUCCUGAGCUGGGGACGUGUAGCACGUUGUGCAGCCGGACAGAGUGUCCGUCGCGCGUCCACUGGUGCAACUCCCCUGUUCCCACGACAUCGGCCAGCUGGUUAUUGCCCCACUUAAUCUGCUGUGGCGCGCCAGCGGGGACGUAGUCAUUUAGCAGGGAGCGGUCACCCGUGAGAUGGUGCAGGGAGCCAGAGUCGAGGACGACCCGUGAGCUGCUGCAACUGCACCGACGCCCCCAGCACCCGCGGUGGCAGCACCGCCAGCAGUAACACCGGCGGAACACGACAGCAACGGCAAAGGGCAACUGGACAACGGGAGUCCCGGCGCCACCGAAUGCUCAGUCGCCAAACUCGUGGCAGCACAGCGCCUGCACCGCCAGUACGGCCACCUUGGUUACAGCGCGCUGCAGCAGUUGGCCGGGAUUUAGCAGGGAGCGGUCACCCGUGAGAUGGUGCAGGGAGCCAGAGUCGAGGACGACCCGUGAGCUGCUGCCACUGCCGCCGACGCCCCCAGCACCGUGGCACGGUUCUGGCGUAAGCUUCUUCCGCUGCUGCCUGAGCCGCCGCUGCUGCUUCCGCCUGCAGUGUCGCUGCCGUUGCGGUGGCCGUUGCCGUGUCUAACACGGCCGCGUUCACGUGCCCUGUCGCCCCCGCUGUUACUGACAUUGCCGAUGCCAGUGCCUCCGCCGCCACCGUCAUGAUGGCGGUUGUUGCUGCCACUGCUGCCGGUGCCGGCAUUGCGCGGCUGCUUGAAUGCGUUGCUGCGGUAGAGACCGACGGACUCGUCCGCCAGCUUAAGGGGGCAUUCACGGACGUAGUGACCAGGCUGUCCACAGUAGCGGCAGAUGUUGUUGGCCCCCGGCGGCGCCCGAGGCGCCGGCAGCACCGCGGACUCCACGGGCGGUGCGUCCAGGGCCAACAGCUCCAACCAGGCCGGUCUCGAUUGCUCGGGCUUUUAGGUUGUUCUCCCUCUCCCGCAGCAUGAACACGAGCUGCGGGGUCGUCAAGUUGAGCAGAUACAUCGCGAACUCGACGGUGAUGGCGUACUGGAGAAUGGCGUGACGCAUUGCGCUCUCGUCCCACUGGCCGCCUGCCGAGAUUAAAUGCUACGUCGUCUCCCUAUCGCCCAUGCUCAGCUGCUUCUGCGGGUCCAACAGGCUCAGCCGGGCCUGUGACGCAGAACGGAACUGUUGCUGCAAUAGCUGCAUGGCCGCGAGAGUAGUCUGACAAUUCCUGAGCAACUGCUUUACGGGCAGUUCACAGGACAGACGGAGGUAGCCGAGCGCCUGUGCGUCUUCCUCCAGGGCGUCUUGUGCGUUGCGACCCGGAGGCGCCGGGUUGGUGAUGUAGCUCAUUAACUUGGACGUGGCGAGGAAAUCGCCGAAGUCUCCGAGCCACUGGGAGUAAUUCGAUCCGUCCGAGAGGAGGACGGUCUUACAUCCCUUCCCCAUGAUGGUUGCCUAGCGAGCCUGACUGCUCUAGCUGAAGCAACUACAGAUAGUAACCGCCGGGAACCGUUACCCGGGGCUCAUAACCUGUUGGUGAGACGCUAUCUCACUGGGACCUAGCAGACACGACUAAGAGUGAUUGGCCGUUACACGUAUUCGGGAGGUCCGCGAUAGCCGUAAACGUGUGAAUCUGAGGUGCUGUUACCGAUGAACAGCAGGGCCUUAUAAAGGCUUGGAGAUGGACGAGCUGGCAGUACUCUAGAACCUGCCAGCCGUUGCUCACAGAAGUCUGACGGGCGGCCUUAAACAGGCCACAGCUGUUACUCACGACAGCCUGACAUGAUACCUAAACAGGCCACGGGGCGACACGGCAUCCCUUCGCAUCAACAGGGAAGACCCACACGUGGGGUUAGUGCCUCCCGCCCCUGGACACUGAAAACCGGACGACCGAUCACACAUGUGCCUUACACAGGGCAAUGUUCAGCGGGCCACGUUUCCGUCAAAGCGAAGGUUUCUCCCACAGUGUAUUACGCGAAUAUCUGGAAGUUUCCAACCCCUGGGUUUACCUUUCUGAGUCGAAUUAGUCAGGUUUCACAUGGCAGCAUAUCCGUAUCCAAAUUGUGGGUCCGACUAUUUGACAGCUAACGGAACUGAAACUUAAGAUGUUGAGUUGCUGUCCCGAAGACAGUCUAGGAGACUUUGGAGGGUCUAUCCGAAGAGCAGCAGCAGGCGUGUCAGUCGCCAGGUCACUAGGAUAGCUACCGUACGGCAUCGGUUGACGGGUAUUGCCCCGCCAUGUACGAGCUGUGUAGCAUAAACUUGAAACCUAGCAUCGCGCAUCGUCUAUGCCAAGUUAAAUAUAAUUAUCCUUCUUGGAGGUGUCCGCAGCAGCUUGUAAAUGAGCAGGUCAGGCCAGCAUCUUGUAUGCAAUAAUUUGCAGUUUUUGCGGUCAG